AUUGAACGCUGGCGGCAUGCCUUACACAUGCAAGUCGAACGGCAGCACGGGUGCUUGCACCUGGUGGCGAGUGGCGAACGGGUGAGUAAUACAUCGGAACAUGUCCUGUAGUGGGGGAUAGCCCGGCGAAAGCCGGAUUAAUACCGCAUACGAUCUACGGAUGAAAGCGGGGGCCCUUCGGGCCUCGCGCAGUAGGGUUGGCCGAUGGCUGAUUAGCUAGUUUGUGGGGUAAAGGCCUACCAAGGCGACGAUCAGUAUGUGGGACGGGCGGACGACCAGCCACACUGUGACUGAGACAGGGCCCAGACUCCUACGGGAGGCAGCAGUGGGGAAUUUUGGACAAUGGGCGAAAGCCUGAUCCAGCAAUGCCGCGUGUGUGCAGAAGGCCUUAGGGUUGUAAAGCACUUUUGUCCGGAAAGAAAUCCUUGGCCCUAAUACGGUCGGGGGAUGACGGUACCGGAAGAAUAAGCACCGGCUAACUACGUG
RNAcentral lists this ribosomal RNA (486 nucleotides) under uncultured bacterium. Its description in RNAcentral is "partial 16S ribosomal RNA". It matches the Rfam family "Bacterial small subunit ribosomal RNA", at positions 30 to 507 of the family's 1533-position model. The record is from RNAcentral.